This 700-nucleotide ribosomal RNA is filed under the name Leptographium francke-grosmanniae. RNAcentral's name for it is "eukaryotic LSU rRNA". It matches the Rfam family "Eukaryotic large subunit ribosomal RNA", at positions 148 to 873 of the family's 3401-position model. The record is from RNAcentral. Lineage: Eukaryota; Fungi; Ascomycota; Sordariomycetes; Ophiostomatales; Ophiostomataceae.
AUCUGGAGAGGAUGCUUCUGGCGCGGCGCCUUCCGAGUUCCCUGGAACGGGACGCCGGAGAGGGUGAGAGCCCCGUACGGUCGGACGCCUAGCCUUUGUGAAGCUCCUUCGACGAGUCGAGUAGUUUGGGAAUGCUGCUCAAAAUGGGAGGUAAAUUUCUUCUAAAGCUAAAUAUUGGCCAGAGACCGAUAGCGCACAAGUAGAGUGAUCGAAAGAUGAAAAGCACUUUGAAAAGAGGGUUAAAAAGUACGUGAAAUUGUUGAAAGGGAAGCGCCCGUGGCCAGACUUGUGCCCCGUGGACCACCCAGCGCCCUCAGCGCUGGUGCACUCCGCGGGGCGCAGGCCAGCAUCGGUUUUUCCAGGGGGACAAAGGCGGCGGGAACGUGGCUCCCUCGGGAGUGUUAUAGCCCGCCGCGCCAUGCCCCUGGGGGGACCGAGGACCGCGCUUCGGCAAGGAUGCUGGCGUAAUGGCCACCGGCGACCCGUCUUGAAACACGGACCAAGGAGUCAAGCAUUGGGGCGAGUGUCUGGGUGCCAAACCCGCACGCGAAAUGAAAGUGAACGCAGGUGAGAGCUUCGGCGCAUCAUCGACCGAUCCUGAUGUUCUCGGAUGGAUUUGAGUAAGAGCCUUACCGCUUGGACCCGAAAGAUGGUGAACUAUGCCUGUAUAGGGUGAAGCCAGAGGAAACUCUGGUGGAGG